Non-coding RNA from Pelobates cultripes (western spadefoot toad), 237 nucleotides. The record is from the annotation of a GenBank genome assembly. NCBI's taxonomy places the organism in Eukaryota, Metazoa, Chordata, Amphibia, Anura, Pelobatidae.
AGGUGUCUUCCCGGAGCUACUGCUCACAGAGACAGGAGACGUAUCUGUAAUAUUGUUAAGCAAGCAAAGCAGGAAGGGGAAUUGGAUGUACUUGUCCAUCUAGGGACAAAUGACUUGGCUUGCAAUGAGGUUUCAGAGGUUAAGGAAGUUUUUAGGGUUUUUGCCAAUGAUAUACGGCAGGUUGCUUCCACACUGUCAUUCUCUGAAGUUCUGCCUGUGCAUAACACUCAGAACGAC